This 793-nucleotide ribosomal RNA is filed under the name uncultured archaeon. RNAcentral describes it as "bacterial SSU rRNA". It matches the Rfam family "Archaeal small subunit ribosomal RNA", at positions 85 to 879 of the family's 1478-position model. The record is from RNAcentral.
ACGGCUCAGUAACACGUAGUCAACCUAACCUAUGGACGGGAAUAACCUCGGGAAACUGAGAAUAAUGCCCGAUAGAACACUAUACCUGGAAUGGUUUGUGUUCCAAAUGAUUUAUCGCCAUAGGAUGGGACUGCGGCCUAUCAGUUUGUUGGUGAGGUAAUGGCCCACCAAGACUAUUACAGGUACGGGCUCUGAGAGGAGUAGCCCGGAGAUGGGUACUGAGACACGGACCCAGGCCCUAUGGGGCGCAGCAGGCGAGAAAACUUUGCAAUGUGCGAAAGCACGACAAGGUUAAUCCGAGUGAUUUGUGCUAAACGAAUCUUUUGUUAGUCCUAGAAACACUAACGAAUAAGGGGUGGGCAAGUUCUGGUGUCAGCCGCCGCGGUAAAACCAGCACCUCAAGUGGUCAGGAUGAUUAUUGGGCCUAAAGCAUCCGUAGCCGGCUCUGUAAGUUUUCGGUUAAAUCUGUACGCUUAACGUACAGGCUGCCGGGARUACUGCAGAGCUAGGGAGUGGGAGAGGUAGACGGUACUCGGUAGGAAGUGGUAAAAUGCUUUGAUCUAUCGAUGACCACCUGUGGCGAAGGCGGUCUACCAGAACACGUCCGACGGUGAGGGAUGAAAGCUGGGGGAGCAAACCGGAUUAGAUACCCGGGUAGUCCCAGCUGUAAACUAUGCAAACUCAGUGAUGCAUUGGCUUGUGGCCAAUGCAGUGCUGCAGGGAAGCCGUUAAGUUUGCCGCCUGGGAAGUACGUACGCAAGUAUGAAACUUAAAGGAAUUGGCGGGGGAGCAC